Molecule: microRNA precursor, 71 nt
Filed under: Mus pahari (shrew mouse)
Lineage: Eukaryota; Metazoa; Chordata; Mammalia; Rodentia; Muridae
Description: microRNA 7678 (MGP_PahariEiJ_G0007379.1)
Source: RNAcentral
UUACAAGGGCUGGAUGGGAAACAUCUAGCUGAUUCCUAUGUUGAAGGUCUUACCUUCCUUUCUCUUGUAGC